GUUCUCUUAGUUCAAUGGUUAAAACAGCAUUCUUCUAAAUUGCAGAUUUUGGUUCGAGUCCGAAAGAGAAUU
This 72-nucleotide transfer RNA is filed under the name Leucoagaricus naucinus. RNAcentral's name for it is "tRNA-Arg". It matches the Rfam family "tRNA". From Rfam's summary of the family: Transfer RNA (tRNA) molecules are approximately 80 nucleotides in length. Their secondary structure includes four short double-helical elements and three loops (D, anti-codon, and T loops). Further hydrogen bonds mediate the characteristic L-shaped molecular structure. tRNAs have two regions of fundamental functional importance: the anti-codon, which is responsible for specific mRNA codon recognition, and the 3' end, to which the tRNAs corresponding amino acid is attached (by aminoacyl-tRNA synthetases). tRNAs cope with the degeneracy of the genetic code in two manners: having more than one tRNA (with a specific anti-codon) for a particular amino acid; and 'wobble' base-pairing, i.e. permitting non-standard base-pairing at the 3rd anti-codon position. Lineage: Eukaryota; Fungi; Basidiomycota; Agaricomycetes; Agaricales; Agaricaceae. The record is from RNAcentral.